Lathyrus oleraceus (garden pea) is the source of this 674-nucleotide long non-coding RNA. RefSeq lists it as uncharacterized. The record is from RefSeq and is a predicted model, not a curated record. The transcript is spliced from 2 exons. NCBI's taxonomy places the organism in Eukaryota, Viridiplantae, Streptophyta, Magnoliopsida, Fabales, Fabaceae.
UUCAAAAAAUCAUUUAGUUUUAAAAUUAUUUCAAAAGUUGAUCAUCACCUUCUCAUCAUUUUUCAAGUUCAGAAUUUAUAAUCAAAGAGAAGAGGAAAUUCUUGAAGGGAGGCUUAUUGCAUGUGUAGGAUUCUUGGCAAUUGGAGUGAAUCAUCAAGCCUCCAUGAUCCUCUUCAUCUCUUGCUAUACAAAUUCAGCCUAGGCCCAUGACGCCCGCCACCAUUGAUGACGGCUAACCCGGAAUGUUCCCAGGCCAGAAUGACGGUCAUCAUCUUCAUGAAGGCCAGCUUGUCAUCCAUUAUGCCUCGAGUCAAGGUUUGAGGAAAAACUGGCAUAACCUGAGCUACAUAAUUUCGACUGAGACGUGGUUGGAUGCGAUGAAAAGCUAAUUCAAAGAGUUGUCAUAUAAUUAAGUAACAUAAUGAGUGUAUGCAAGUUUGCUACUUGUGAAUUGACCAUUAUUUUCCAUGCUUACAUGUUUAUAUGUUAUGCUUCAAUAAAUGUUAACAAAUUUGCAAUAGCACGAAUGAUAUGCUUUAAUGUUAACAAAGCCGUAAUAGCAUGUGUGCUAUGUUUCGAGGUAAGCAAAACCGUAAUGGCAUGUGUAUUUGUUUUGUCGUACCGAAAUUGUAAUAGCAUGUAAGUUGUGUAAGUUGGUAAAUAAUUUUAAUCUA